AAUAAUGUAAUAUGCCUCGAUGUAAUUAUUGAAAAUGUGUAAAAAGUCCGAUGUAACCGUCUUUUUAGAUGUACAAUCACAUCGAUUCGAUGCUAAUUUACAUCUACCCCAAAAUUACACCUAAAUAAAGUAUCAACUUUUCUUUGCAUCGCAUUUGUGUAACAUUCACAUCGAAAAAAUGUGAUUAUUACACAGAAUGAGCUGCAACCAAGUGGUUGCAAUGGAGUUGUGUAGCAUUACACAAAGUCGAUGUCAUAUCGCAUCUUUUAAUGAUGCGAUAAUACAUCUCGCAACACUGCCGGCUUUGUUGUGAUCGGCCAAGAGCGAGGCAAGUGAGCGUCCAUUUUAGUUUUCGGUGAAGAAAGUUAGUGAAAGGAUUUUGCCUGAAAUUUGUUCAUUUUCGAAGGAUAAUUCAACGUGAAGCGGAGUUCCGGGCACCAAAAUUGGAACUUCAUCGCCGUCGAUCUGGAAGCCCAGCUCAACUUGGUGUUCUCCGACGAAUUAGCUUCUCCCCGGCGGCUAACAGGAACACCUAUUUCGAGCUAGCUAGUUGGCCAAGUGUGUUACCAGCUGCGGCAAAUAUACGGUCAAAAUCACCCUCAAGAACCACAUGCCAACAUAACAACCACCAAGACUAAGGGCGACAGAUGCCGGUUCCGAGGUCGAUGUUAACCACCGACUCCUUACCAUCGUCGCUGGUUGCGAUUUGACUAUGGUCCAGUAUGCCGUAUCCCCAGCACCACUGCCAUAAACGUGAUCUGGACCAGCCAGUAAACUCGAUCCGAUAUGCCAAAUGAAUACGAUCCGGGCGACGAUCGACAGACGAUGGAAUACGAUCCGGAAGAUCGUCAGCGGGAGACUUGGAGGAAAACUAAUUUUGCGAGGAGUUGGUCGCUCUGAAGGGUGUUGCAAAAGUAAACGUGAACUCCGGAAAAGGCGAACAUGGAUGCAGGAUGACUAUAAAGCCGUAUUCAAGUCAGUGUUCUCUUCACACUGUCGGCGUCAGGAUUAGCGCGGAACGAGAGAAGCAGCUCGAGGAGCCGUAUAGCCGAAGUGGCAAACACACGGGCAUUCAGUGGUCCACGAUCUCAUCGUAAUAGAAAUGUUAACGAUUAUUGACUUUCUUAGGUGUAGAUUAUCGUCGUAUCUGCUAUAUAAUAAACAAAUUAAACAUGUUUAGUUAUUGAAAAGCAAUCUCACAAUUAGUUUGAAUAUGCUCAUAUUUAUUGUGCAGGCUCUGACCUAGCUGGCCUUAAAGAAGACAAUAUAAGAACCUAGUUACAAAUAUAAUA
Molecule: long non-coding RNA, 1292 nt
Organism: Aedes albopictus (Asian tiger mosquito)
Lineage: Eukaryota; Metazoa; Arthropoda; Insecta; Diptera; Culicidae
Exons: 3
Source: RefSeq, a predicted model, not a curated record